GACGGGUGAGUAACGCGUGGGUAACCGUGCCUUAUUACAGGGGGGAGUAACAGUCAGAAAUGGCUGCUAAUACCGCAUAAGCGCACAGAGCUGCAUGGCUCAGUGUGAAAAACUACCGGUGGUAUAAGAUGGACCCGCGUUGGAUUAGCUAGUUGGUGGGGUAACGGCCCACCAAGGCGACGAUCCAUAGCCGGCCUGAGAGGGUGAACGGUCACAUUGGGACUGAGACACGGCCCAGACUCCUACGGGAGGCAGCAUG
RNAcentral lists this ribosomal RNA (259 nucleotides) under uncultured bacterium. Its description in RNAcentral is "partial 16S ribosomal RNA". It matches the Rfam family "Bacterial small subunit ribosomal RNA", at positions 100 to 353 of the family's 1533-position model. The record is from RNAcentral.